This is a long non-coding RNA of Ornithodoros turicata, 899 nucleotides long. RefSeq lists it as uncharacterized. Lineage: Eukaryota; Metazoa; Arthropoda; Arachnida; Ixodida; Argasidae. The transcript has 3 exons. The record is from RefSeq and is a predicted model, not a curated record.
UCUGAACGUUUCACCUAUCGUUGCGGUGUACUGUUCUUGAUCUGCUGCGAAGCGACGAACCACAACGGCAGUCACUCGCCUCAGCGAAAUUUUGUCUGCUGCAUCUUAAAGGAGCAUGGGGACCUGAUGAUACCUUCAACUAAAGAAACCAAAUGUGCUCUCGUGUGGUCCUGACGGAAAAGUAGUAUCAACAAGGCUAUGCCGCUCCGAAGCAUUGAGAUGACGAAGCAUCGUGGUAGCUGCACCUCUGCCUUCGAAAGAUGAAUCAGUCAUUCCACACUGUGCUUACUGGCUUUGUAUAGAGUCUGGCAAAUCCGACAGACUUGGACUGCCUUUUUCAAGAAAGUUUGAAAUAGCAUCCCCUAUGCACCUGCAUUUCAAUUCCAAUCUGUAUUACAAGAAUGACAGACCACUCAACAGAGAUGAACAUCUGAAAGGAAAGAGCUGGAAUGAAGAUACGUUAAUCUGUGUCAAAGGUUCUUAGUAUGUGUGCGAGUCGAGGACAUAGGUCUCAAGCUAAUUCCUGUCUUCAGAAGAGGUGACAACUAUGCUCCUUCUAUCUAUUAACCAGCUCCACUUUUUAGGGUUCCCUGUAAACUAAUGGAGCACAUCAUGUACUACCACAUUGUCAACCAAGUCGAGUCUGUCGAUUUCUUUUUUUACAUUCCAGCAUGGCUUUAGAAAAGGGUAUUCAGGCAAAACUAACGUAGUGGAAUUCGUUCACAGCAUUUCAAACUGUCUUGAUUUCUGGGUCCACGUAGAUGUAGUAUUCUUUUUAUUUUGUAAGGGCUUUUGACACUGUGCUCUAUGCUCGCGUGUUGGCCAAAGUAGCCUAAUUAAAAUUUGAUCCUGCUACCUGGAUAUGCAGUUUCUCAACUAACCGUAACCGUGGCGACAAC